UACGUAGGGCGCAAGCGUUAUCCGGAAUUAUUGGGCGUAAAGGGCGCGUAGGCGGCUGGACAAGUCAAAGGUGAAAUCCCUCGGCUCAACUGAGGAACUGCCUUUGAAACUGUCUGGCUUGAGGCCGGGAGGGGGUAGCGGAAUUCCCAGUGUAGCGGUGAAAUGCGUAGAUACUGGGAGGAACACCAGUGGCGAAGGCGGCUACCUGGACCGGUACUGACGCUGAGGCGCGAAAGCGUGGGUAGCAAACAGG
Molecule: ribosomal RNA, 253 nt
Filed under: uncultured bacterium
Lineage: Bacteria
Description: partial 16S ribosomal RNA
Rfam family: Bacterial small subunit ribosomal RNA
Source: RNAcentral